RNAcentral lists this ribosomal RNA (360 nucleotides) under uncultured bacterium. RNAcentral's name for it is "bacterial SSU rRNA". It matches the Rfam family "Bacterial small subunit ribosomal RNA", at positions 32 to 402 of the family's 1533-position model. The record is from RNAcentral.
AAUCAACGCUGGCGGCGUGCCUAACACAUGCAAGUCGAGCGAGAAAGUGGAGCAAUCCAUGAGUACAGCGGCGCACGGGUGAGUAACACGUGACUAACCUACCCUCGAGUGGGGAAUAACUUCGGGAAACCGAGGCUAAUACCGCAUAAUACCCACGGGUCAAAAGAGCAAUCUGCUUGAGGAGGGGGUCGCGGCCGAUUAGUUAGUUGGCAGGGUAAUGGCCUACCAAGACGANGAUCGGUAUCCGGCCUGAGAGGGCGCACGGACACACUGGAACUGAAACACGGUCCAGACUCCUACGGGAGGCAGCAGUGGGGGAAUUUUGCGCAUGGGGGAAACCCUGACGCAGCAACGCCGCGU